GACCUCUGUCACGUACCUUCUCUCGGGAAGGCCUUAUAGGGGAGGUGUCAUGCAACCAGCCUGGACUGAGGUCCGCGCAUCUGCUAGGAUGCUGGCGUAAUGGCUGUAAGCGG
RNAcentral lists this ribosomal RNA (113 nucleotides) under Xenopyrenochaetopsis pratorum. RNAcentral's name for it is "partial large subunit ribosomal RNA". Lineage: Eukaryota; Fungi; Ascomycota; Dothideomycetes; Pleosporales; Pyrenochaetopsidaceae. The record is from RNAcentral.